This 440-nucleotide ribosomal RNA is filed under the name uncultured bacterium. RNAcentral describes it as "bacterial SSU rRNA". It matches the Rfam family "Bacterial small subunit ribosomal RNA", at positions 958 to 1398 of the family's 1533-position model. The record is from RNAcentral.
AACGCGAAGAACCUUACCCAGGCUCGAAAUGCAGGUGACGAUACCAGAGAUGGUAUUUUUCGAAAGGACACCUGUAUAGGUGCUGCAUGGCUGUCGUCAGCUCGUGCCGUGAGGUGUUGGGUUAAGUCCCGCAACGAGCGCAACCCUUAUCAUUAGUUGCCAACACGCAAGGUGGGGACUCUAAUGAGACUGCCUAGGUUAACUAGGAGGAAGGUGAGGAUGAUGUCAAGUCCGCAUGGCCUUUAUGUCUGGGGCUACACACGUGCUACAAUGGUCGGUACAGAAGGUAGCAAGACCGCGAGGUGGAGCAAAUCCGUAAAACCGAUCUCAGUUCAGAUUGUAGUCUGCAACUCGGCUACAUGAAGCUGGAAUUGCUAGUAAUGACGUGUCAGCAACAACGUCGUGAAUACGUUCCCGGGCCUUGUACACACCGAGACGUA